RNAcentral lists this ribosomal RNA (398 nucleotides) under uncultured bacterium. RNAcentral's name for it is "partial 16S ribosomal RNA". It matches the Rfam family "Bacterial small subunit ribosomal RNA", at positions 523 to 918 of the family's 1533-position model. The record is from RNAcentral.
AUACGUAGGGUGCGAGCGUUGUCCGGAAUUACUGGGCGUAAAGAGCUCGUAGGUGGUUUGUCGCGUCGUCUGUGAAAUUCCGGGGCUUAACUCCGGGCGUGCAGGCGAUACGGGCAUAACUUGAGUACUGUAGGGGAGACUGGAAUUCCUGGUGUAGCGGUGAAAUGCGCAGAUAUCAGGAGGAACACCGGUGGCGAAGGCGGGUCUCUGGGCAGUAACUGACGCUGAGGAGCGAAAGCAUGGGUAGCGAACAGGAUUAGAUACCCUGGUAAUCCAUGCCGUAAACGGUGGGCGCUAGGUGUAGGGGUCUUCCACGACUUCUGUGCCGUAGCUAACGCAUUAAGCGCCCCGCCUGGGGAGUACGGCCGCAAGGCUAAAACUCAAAGGAAUUGACGGGG